GCCGCCCUAGCCCAACUGGUAGAGGCGUCAGGUCGAGGGCCUGAUUAGUGAGGGUUCGAGUCCCUCGGGCGGCA
Molecule: transfer RNA, 74 nt
Filed under: Virus Rctr197k
Lineage: Duplodnaviria; Heunggongvirae; Uroviricota; Caudoviricetes
Description: tRNA-Leu
Rfam family: tRNA
About the family: Transfer RNA (tRNA) molecules are approximately 80 nucleotides in length.
Source: RNAcentral